Molecule: ribosomal RNA, 253 nt
Filed under: uncultured bacterium
Lineage: Bacteria
Description: partial 16S ribosomal RNA
Rfam family: Bacterial small subunit ribosomal RNA
Source: RNAcentral
UACGUAGGGUGCAGGCGUUAAUCGGAAUUACUGGGCGUAAAGCGUGCGCAGGCGGUUCUCCAAGUCCGUUGUGAAAGCCCCGGGCUCAACCUGGGAAUGGCAGUGGAAACUAGGGGACUGGAAUCUGGCAGAGGGGGGUGGAAUGCCGCGUGUAGCAGUGAAAUGCGUAGAGAUGCGGCGGAACACCGAUGGCGAAGGCAGCCCCCUGGGCUGAGAUUGACGCUCAGGCACGAAAGCGUGGGGAGCAAGCAGG